AUGAUUUCUUCCUUUUCACUCUUGUGUAACAGUCUGCAAGCCCUGAUUUUUAUACUAAAUACAUGCUCUCAAGUUUAUAAGCUAAAGCUAUCAGCAAUGCUGUCCCUACAAGGGUUUAAGGAUGAACCUCACACAACUUGCAGUUAUUUUACUACUGUAGACAAGUUCCCUGUUAAAAAUCAGUUUGUCUCCUACUGCUUACAUGAAAACCAAGUCCAUGUUAUAAACCUUCUAGUAUCUCAUCUGUGCUGCAACACUUGGUGUCACAGUGUUUUUCAGCAGGUGUUACUGGAUGCUAUGCACAUAAACACUAGCCACACUGGUGUUAAAACACUUUUUACUGAGCUUGCGUCCAGAGGCAAAAAAAAAAAAAAAAAAAAAGAGGAAAACAAACGAAAAACCAAACCAAACACAAAAAACCAAACCAACAUCCCCAAACAAAGAAAAAAAACAAUAAAGAAGUUUUCAGAUACUAAAACAUGGGGGAAUAAAAGGACUUCCCUGGAAAUGUUUCUGGCAGCAGUGUCACCGCUGUAUCGCUGUGCCCAGUGGGAGAUGCUUCCUUACACCUGCCUGGUGCCAGCCUCAUGGAAGUGGCCCUGCCGGCCGUGUUCAACAAAACCUGUGGCAGAGAUGCAAAGGCAGCAGCUCUCCCAGGCAGGAGGAACGGGCUCGGGCUGCCGGGGGGCACCCAGGGCCAGAGACCACCGGGAGCCGCCUCAACAACCUGAUCCGAGCAGGAGCCCACACCGGGAGCACAGAGACAGGGCUAGGGCUGCCAAAACCCGCCAUUCGUGUCUCUUUGCCUCCAGACUUAGUUUUUCCUUCGUUCUGCCAGCUGCCUGCUUUAAGUCCCUCCGGGUUAAAUUACACCAGGCUCAGCGUGCUGCCACUAUCUCCGGCCCGACAGCACUCGGAGUAAAUCCUUGGACAAACACUGGCCAACGUAGCGGCUCCGGCGGUGCAGCACGGGCCCAGAGCAGCCACACAUCGCCUCCAGGCGCUGCCGGCCCCGUCCCGGGGGUGAUGCGGGGCAGCCCCGGCAGACCCCGCCCCGCCCCGGGCCCGGCGGGAGGCGCGGCCCGGCCCGGCCCGGCCGCCAAUGAGCGCGGCGGGGCGGGCACGCCCGCGGCCGGGAUAAGAGGGGCCUCGGAGGCCGAGCGUCGUUGA
This 1170-nucleotide long non-coding RNA is filed under the name Corvus moneduloides (New Caledonian crow). RNAcentral's name for it is "lncRNA (ENSCMUG00000016991.1)". Lineage: Eukaryota; Metazoa; Chordata; Aves; Passeriformes; Corvidae. The record is from RNAcentral.